UGGGGGAGGCCGGAUCGUGGGCUGUGUCCCCGGCGACCUGUGCUCCCGGCCUGCGCUGUUGGAUUCGCGCUCCCCUCCAAGAGGCUCCCG
RNAcentral lists this microRNA precursor (90 nucleotides) under Canis lupus familiaris (dog). RNAcentral's name for it is "mir-8799 microRNA precursor family". It matches the Rfam family "mir-8799 microRNA precursor family". The record is from Rfam by way of RNAcentral. RNAcentral also lists the same sequence under 1 other name. Lineage: Eukaryota; Metazoa; Chordata; Mammalia; Carnivora; Canidae.